GCAAGUGUGGCCGAGUGGUUAAGGCGCUGUGUUUAGGUAAUCAUAAAGUUGACUACAAAUCCGCAGUUCUAACGAGCGUGAGUUCGAAUCUCACCGCUUGCA
Molecule: transfer RNA, 102 nt
Organism: Penicillium vulpinum
Lineage: Eukaryota; Fungi; Ascomycota; Eurotiomycetes; Eurotiales; Aspergillaceae
Rfam family: tRNA
About the family: Transfer RNA (tRNA) molecules are approximately 80 nucleotides in length. Their secondary structure includes four short double-helical elements and three loops (D, anti-codon, and T loops).
Source: Rfam